UACGAAGGGGGCUAGCGUUGCUCGGAAUGACUGGGCGUAAAGGGCGCGUAGGCGGAUGGCACAGUCAGAUGUGAAAUCCCCGGGCUUAACCUGGGAAUGGCAUUUGGGACUGCAAGGCUGGAGUGCGGCAGAGGAGACUGGAAUUCCCGGUGUAGCAGUGAAAUGCGUAGAUAUCGGGAGGAAUACCGAUGGCGAAGGCAGGUCUCUGGGCUGACACUGACGCUCAUGCACGAAAGCGUGGGGAGCAAACAGG
RNAcentral lists this ribosomal RNA (253 nucleotides) under uncultured bacterium. Its description in RNAcentral is "partial 16S ribosomal RNA". It matches the Rfam family "Bacterial small subunit ribosomal RNA", at positions 524 to 776 of the family's 1533-position model. The record is from RNAcentral.